Molecule: long non-coding RNA, 620 nt
Filed under: Trifolium pratense (red clover)
Lineage: Eukaryota; Viridiplantae; Streptophyta; Magnoliopsida; Fabales; Fabaceae
Description: long non-coding RNA (TPRA_LNC012054)
Source: RNAcentral
CAUGUUCCAACGCAUCUUGCCAUUAUUCUAAUUCAAAGAGUACGACAAAAAGACUAUGCUCACAUGUUAGAGAGAUUGGAUUGGUGAGAUUCUACACAUUGAGAGAAAACAAGUAGUAGAUGACGCCAAAACAUUGAAAUUCGAGGAAGCAAAACAUAUAGUAAUUCAUUAAUUCAAUCUAACAAAAUAAAAAUACUAGAACAACUAUACCAAAAAAAAAAAAACUAAAACAAAACAAUGAACAUUUUUUUCUUCUUCUUUCUCUUACAACAUUGUUCAUCAUCUUAAAAAUACAUAUAAGAAUCUCUUUAUGAUAAUCAUUCUUCCAUUUCUGCAAUCACCUAACAAUUUCAAUUCUAACUUUGCAAAAUCAACUCAAAACAUGAAUUCAAAACUCAGAUCAUCUGAUUUUGAUUGAACGAUUCAGAUCUAGAACCACCUUAUUAUGAUACCAUAUAACAAUCCACUUCCUUGAUACUAUUCCAAAGAUUCAAGUCCUUGAACAAAAAGUUGAGCAAAUUCCUCCAUUUGUUGCUUGUUCAAAGCCAAACCAAUCUCAACGCCACCAUCAUUAUUCUUACUUUCACUAAGAGAAAAUGCUCCUGUUUUAUCAAUAGAAG